Molecule: ribosomal RNA, 501 nt
Filed under: uncultured bacterium
Lineage: Bacteria
Description: partial 16S ribosomal RNA
Rfam family: Bacterial small subunit ribosomal RNA
Source: RNAcentral
AUUGAACGCUGGCGGCAGGCUUAACACAUGCAAGUCGAGCGGGGGAAGGUAGCUUGCUACUGGACCUAGCGGCGGACGGGUGAGUAAUGCUUAGGAAUCCGCCUAUUAGUGGGGGACAACAUCUCGAAAGGGAUGCUAAUACCGCAUACGUCCUACGGGAGAAAGCAGGGGAUCUUCGGACCUUGCGCUAAUAGAUGAGCCUAAGUCGGAUUAGCUAGUUGGUGGGGUAAAGGCCUACCAAGGCGACGAUCUGUAGCGGGUCUGAGAGGAUGAUCCGACACACUGGGACUGAGGCACGGCCCAGACUCCUACGGGAGGCAGCAGUGGGGAAUAUUGGACAAUGGGGGGAACCCUGAUCCAGCCAUGCCGCGUGUGUGAAGAAGGCCUUAUGGUUGUAAAGCACUUUAAGCGAGGAGGAGGCUACUCUAGUUAAUACCUAGGGAUAGUGGACGUUACUCGCAGAAUAAGCACCGGCUAACUCUGUGCCAGCAGCCGCAGUAA